GGAUUAUAGCUCAGUGGUAGAGUGCUUUUCCAGCAUAGAUGAGGCACUGGGUUCGAUUCUCAGCACCA
RNAcentral lists this transfer RNA (68 nucleotides) under Marmota monax (woodchuck). RNAcentral describes it as "tRNA.Ala". Lineage: Eukaryota; Metazoa; Chordata; Mammalia; Rodentia; Sciuridae. The record is from RNAcentral.